CCGAUAUUUCAUACCACAAGAAUGUGGCGCUCCAUGGUUGGUGAGCAUGCUCGGUCCGUCCGAGAAGCCUUAAAACUAUGACGACACAUUCACCUUGAACCAAGGGUUCAAGGGUUACAGCCUGCGGCGGCAUCUCGGAGAUUCC
RNAcentral lists this small RNA (145 nucleotides) under Enterobacter hormaechei. RNAcentral's name for it is "partial 6S RNA". It matches the Rfam family "6S / SsrS RNA", at positions 41 to 187 of the family's 187-position model. Rfam says of the family: E. coli 6S RNA was the first non coding RNA to be sequenced, but its function was unknown until recently. The record is from RNAcentral. Lineage: Bacteria; Pseudomonadati; Pseudomonadota; Gammaproteobacteria; Enterobacterales; Enterobacteriaceae.